AGAGUUUGAUCCUGGCUCAGAAUGAACGCUGGCGGCGUGCUUAACACAUGCAAGUCGGAUGUGCCGCAAGGUGCAUGGCAGACGGGUGAGUAACGCGUGGGGAACCUACCUCUUCGUGGGGAAUAACGCUCCGAAAGGAGUGGUAAUACCGCAUGAGACCUUGGGCUGGGAUGUUCAAGGUGAAAGCUGGGGAUCGAAAGACCUGGCGCGAGGAGAGGGUCCUGCGUCUGAUUAGCUAGUUGGUGGGGUAAUGGCCUACCAAGGCGACGAUCAGUAGCCGGCCUGAGAGGGUGAUCGGCCACACUGGAACUGAGACACGGUCCAGACUCCUACGGGAGGCAGCAGUGGGGAAUUUUGCGCAAUGGGCGAGAGCCUGACGCAGCAACGCCGCGUGGGUGAUGAAGGUCUUC
This 410-nucleotide ribosomal RNA is filed under the name uncultured bacterium. Its description in RNAcentral is "bacterial SSU rRNA". It matches the Rfam family "Bacterial small subunit ribosomal RNA", at positions 8 to 419 of the family's 1533-position model. The record is from RNAcentral.